This is a long non-coding RNA of Ahaetulla prasina, 6857 nucleotides long. RefSeq lists it as uncharacterized. The record is from RefSeq and is a predicted model, not a curated record. Lineage: Eukaryota; Metazoa; Chordata; Lepidosauria; Squamata; Colubridae. The transcript is spliced from 4 exons.
AAGAAAAAAAAAAACUCGAGUAUAAGCCGUAUAUACUCGAGUAUAAGCCGAGGGGCUUUAAAAAAAAAAAACUUGAGUAUAAGCCGUAUAGACCCGAGUAUAAGCCAUGGGGAAGUUUUUCAGCACAAAAAACGUGCUGAAAAACUCGGCUUAUACUCGAGUAUAUACGGUACUUACUUCCAAACUACCUUUUAACUAUUUUAACUAUUUGUAAAAUGAAUAGAAUUGCCAGAGAUAUAAUAGUUAAUGCUAUAUGUUCCAUCUAAUUCUUUUAUAUUUAUAAUUUUUAAACAAGCAUUCUUCGACACACUAUUUCUACCAUCACUUCAGUACAAAAUAAAGGUUAUUUUUAAGAAAAACAUUGAAAUGUAGCGGUAGGGGUUUGCAAAAUACUGCAAAUUCUAAAUGUGUGUAAUUCUAAAGCACGAGUGUCAAACUUGCUGCGUCAUGUUGCCGUUUCACAUUUUUUCCCAUUCGUGGAGCUGGGGUGGAUGUGGCCUGUGCAUGAUGCAUCCAGCCCGUUGGCUGCCAGUUUUGACACCUCUGUUCUAAAGACUACUAUUUGAAUUCAAAACAGUUAUUUUGAACAAGACUGGAUAGUCUUACAAAUCUGGAUAUGUUCUCAUUCUGAAAUAUCCCCCCUCUGACCUCAAAUCAUAUCUACUUCAAGAUUAGAAUAUUUCUGAAAUGGUUAGAAUAACCCAUUACAAACUUGAAACAACCACACAGCCCUAAUAAGCAGUUUUUUGGGUUGACCGUACAUAAACAUUAACAUCUAUUAAUGUCUCAACUAGAGAAACCAAUAUCUGGUUGGUAAUCAAUAAUAUACGGUAUGUUUUUUAUUGUUUAUAUACAAGAUUUUGUUUCUGUAUCCCUGUAAAAGAAAGAACAGUGAAUAUAAAAUCUAUUUUUUAAAAAAUUCUCAGCUAUUCCCAAAUUAUUUUACAGAAAUACAGUAUAGGAAACAAGCUUAAAUACUGCUUAAUAGAAAUCUUUGUGAACUAAUAUUUUAAAACAAAUUUGAAAAUUUAGGCCAAAGCUACCUGAUUUUUUUUAAAUGAUACUAUUUCCUUGUAUUUGGGGAAAUAAAUUUAAACUUAAUAAGUACUAUAAAUAUUAUAAACUAUAAUGAAUAAAUAACUUAAAUGGAUAUUGAAAACUUGCAUGUUACAAAUUAUGUUACAUAUUACACAUUACAUUAUUCAGUGCCAAUAACAUGUCUCUAUGUGCAAUUCGCAGACUUGAAGUAUUUUAGCAGAAGGUGAAACAGAGAUACUUUCUAUAGUUUACUUAAAACUUAAGAAUGGCUUUUGUUGUUUACAUAUUCUAAGAAAGUAGUUGUUUUUUGUUAUCUGCAUCUAGCUGACUUCUGCCCCAUCUCUAUUGGUUCACUUUGUAAACGAGAAUGUAAAAUGCACAGGGAGGAACAGAAAACAGUCAAUGAUGCUGCUGAGCAUGGUGCUGAAACAGAGUAAAUAGAACUGACUUUGAGUCAAGAAAUAUUAGCAGAAAUAGUCCAAAUUCUCUUUACAAAUCAUAUUGGGCUUCCCCUUACUAAAAUUCCUAAUGAAUGGCAAUGUUAAUGUGUACUACCAUAUUUGCAGAUAGGAUUGCACAGGAAAUUUAUAAGUAGACUGAUAAUUGUGCCUAGAUUUUUUCAUUCAUUUGAAAUUAAUUCAACAUAUAGAAUAAACAGUUAUACAAUUAACAAGAGUAAACGUAAGUUCAAAUGGUCUCAAGCUUUAUUAAAAUAAACACUAAUGUAUUUUAUAAAUCAACAACAAACAGGCUGUUUAUUUUGAAAAUUAUUAGGAAGUUGUAGUUUGGAAUGCAUGGGAGUCCAUGCCCAAGGACUUCUUUAAAGAAGAAGCAUCUUCCUUAUGAGCUUGAGAAAGUCACAGCUCCUUUAAUGGGUUGUAUGAAAAACUCACUGUACUGGUACUUCUGUAUUUCCCAAAGCAAUUUUACAAAAUCAUUUUCAAAACAUGAACAUAGAAGGCAAUAUGAUGCCCUCCAUAUAUUUUGGACUGGAACUCUGACAAGUCAUGGUUAGCACUGUCAAUAGACAGCUUUUUUGAAGAUGGUAUUACAAAACUCUAACCACAGAAAUCUUUGCUAACAUUUUGAAAAUAUUCUGUUAUAGAAGGAUUUACUUUCAAGAUAUUGCAGAUAGGCUAUGCUGCCUAUUCCAAUAUCCCACACAUGUUAUGUCAUGGGUUUUUUAUAUUUAAUCAACAUUAGGUUUUCCUUCUUAAUUUUCUGGAUACAGAAUUAAUUAAGUGAAAUCAGAAGCAGUUCAGUUCAUGAUUCUACAAUAUUGUUGAAGCCAAACAUGUCUAGGAAAUAUCUGAAUGGAAGAACAUUAAAGAAUCUUAGUUAACCUGCCUUAAACUCAAAACAAAGAUAUAUAAAUGAAAUAAGUUUCUUAUUUCAAAGGGACAUAACAGAGAAAAAUAAAGAAUAUUUGUUUCAAAUGUAAGUAUAAAUGAUAGCAGCUACAGAUCUGAAGACCUGUAAAAAAAUACAGGAAAAAAGAUGAAAAACUGAAAUGAAAAUUUUGCAGUGGAGAACAAUCUUAUUAUUCAAUAUUUUCUGUUUUACAAUGACUAAAUGGUUAAAAAUUGUUCAAAAUGCACAGGAUGAACAUUUGUAUAUACAAAGCAAUUUGCAAAGUUUGUGAAUAAUUUCACCUAAAUAUGGAUAUCAAUUUUCCAUGGCAUAUGAAGUUUAAUUUGAUGCACAAUGAAAUUUUUCUUUAAUACUGGCACUAUAUAAAAUGAUUCCUGUUUAGAAUAUUUAUAUUUAUUAUGAAUUUGGGGUUUUAUUAAGGAACCUUCUAUUCUUGCCAAGCUUGAAACUGAAUUAAAAGAUCUACAGAAAAAAAGUGGGUUUUUUUCUAAAAAUAAAAAUCUAUAAAUGGUUUUCUACUAGAUUUAGCCACAUUAUAUACCAUUAAAACAAAGUGAUCACAUAAAUUGCAUUAUAACCCUUAAAAAAAUCCAGCCAACUGAUUGGAUAUCACCCCUAUAGUACAUCUUGAAGGGCUGGGCAUUGAAAAAUUCUGAAAAACUUAAGACAAACAGUUCAAACUUGGAUUGUUUUUCUGAGUUAAUAUUCCUUGAUAAUCAGUUCAUUAAAUAUGUUUUAGGUUUCACGUAAGUUCUUUUAUUAACCCAACAAUUACAGUUUGAAAAUCAUAAUAUAUUUAUGAAUCUAGGGUUAAGCCAGAUACCAAUAAUCUGUAGCUGAACUAUUCAAUCCUAUAAAUGUACAUUUGAAUGUAAAAUCACAAAGGUUGAAUCUCAUUAAAUAUAAUUUUAGGCAUGUUUAGCCAGAAGUAAAAUCUAUUAAAUCUAAUAAUGCUUAUUCCAUAUAGGUGUAACCUAAAUGCAGGCAAAAAUAGAAUUAUAGUGCAAUCCUAUAGCUGUCUAUUCAAAAGUAAAUGUGAAGAGUAAAAUUUAAUGAAACUUUUUAGAUUACACUCUACAAUAUUCUAUGUAUGUAAUGUUGUUGUAAAUUUAUUCACACAUUUUAGGACAAUUAAUAUUAACCACAAAUGGUACCUAUACAAGCUCUCUGUACACUUGAAAGCAUCUAAAACAUACAUGAAGUCUUUUGUUUUCAAAGCAAAUAGAUUUACAUAAAAAUUAAAUGCUUAUCAUACUUCAUUUAUAACUGAUGUGUGUUUUAUGUUUAUAGUCUAACUAAUCCAAUUAAUAUUCUCUGAGAAGCAAUUUCCAUGGUGGCUUUCAAAGUGACUUACUCUGAAGUAGGUAUGUAUUAAUUAUCACCCCUUUAGUUUUUUUGUUUACUCAAAAGUAGGUCCAACAUGUUCAAUACAGCAUAACCAGUAAUUCAAUUUGAUGUCUGUAUUCUAUGACACUUAACCCAUAGUUAAGUGAACCAUGGUUUACUUACAUUUUCUUAAUUUAAGGUAAACUGAAUGAUGGGUUAAUCAUAGGAGCUGGGUUCAUAUAAAAAACAAUUAAUCACAGAAGCUGGGUACAUAUAACAAACCAAGCUAAAAAUCUGUGAUUUCACAUAUCAUCUAAACAGCCCACAUAUAAUUUCAUAAUUGUAGAAAUCUUCUUGCAAACUGAACUUAAAAAUGGUAGCACUACUAAAAGUUUUAACCAUAUCCGAGUUCCUCAUAAAACAAAUGUGGGGUUAUUUUCUCCUUUCACCACUCUCCCAAAAGGUACUUUCUUUUCAAAGUAUCAAAUCCAUUUGCUUCAUAAAGUAGCAUAAUAUCUGCACAAGGUAAAGCCAAGUAAACAAUACGAUAAGCUCAGGAAAUAGAUGGUCCUCUUUCUUAGCAACCUGCGUUUCUUCUACAUCUCUGCAUCAUUCCCACCCCCCCAAAUUAACCAAAAUAAAUGAAAUAGCCUCUCUUGUUAUGAACUCAGCAGUUUCGAUUGGUUGAAAUUAAGUCACUCCCCACCCCCCUUAAGGAGGCUAUUCCGCGUAUAUAGCAAAACUCCUAAAGAUACCCUUUGCUUAGGAGUUGUUGUGCAUGGGCUGCUUUCCCAGGCUAACGGAAGGAGAUGCAGACUUUUUCUCUCAUUAGGCCUCUUCCAUCAUCCGGAGUGUUGCCGUCUCCAUCUCCAUAUCCCAAACCCAACCUAAUAAUGGGAUGAUGAUGAAAUGUUUGCAGCAUUUACAAUGCCCACAGAUUCUCAGUGAGUUGGGAAACCACAACCAAGCAUGUCAUAUGGACCUGUGGAGGAACAGAUGCAGGAAAUGGAGCAGCUAUCCGCAACAUAUGUAUCAGAAGAAAUGGAAAUGCAAGAUAAAGACAGUGAACAGUUCUCUGCAGAAAUUCCAAUGCUUACUGUUUCACAACGAGUUCAAUAGAGUAUUGAACCACAACAGCUUUAUGCAAUGCAUGGGAAGUACAGGGACAGGAAAUUGAACCCUGGCCGUCCACAUCCCGUGUCAUACAAGAACCUGUUUGUAAAAAGUCAAAAAAGGGGAAUGAGGACUAACAGCCUACAGUCGUACACCCAGAUAUUACCAGUGAAGAGUGUGAUAUGUCAGAAACACAAUCAGUAGAGGAAUAAGAACACUCAGAAGUACACCAGAAGAACCUGAUGUCUACCUGGAGAGCAACUGAUCAUGGCAGAAGGAAGUGCAACACUACAGAGCUAUAGAGUACUGUGAACAUUACAGAUGUGUAAAUGUGGAACAUAUUCGAUCAUUCACACAAGCUAUACGUGUUAUUCAUACAGAACCUUUUGAACCAUAUUUCCAGCGAGAUAAGAUCAAGUGAUUUUGUGCAAUUGCGGUGGAUGCUGAGGAAUUAGGUAGGCCUCUCUUUAGUGUUAGGAGACCUCUGGAUGAACUAAAUGCUGAUCAGUUCCUUAGUUUUGUAGAGAGUUUAUUACAAAGCAAAUGUGGAGAUAUUAUGGAGGAACUCUUUAGAACUAACAGUCACUAUUGUGAAGAACCAUGAGGAGGGCGGGCUUAGGAAAUUAGGUACAGUUCUAUUCGGUAAGAUUUUGGAGAAGAAAAGACAACACCUGGUUGAUUUCUAUGUAGAGGGGAUAUUUCUGUGUUUUGCAGACAGCCUGUUGUCAUUGUUAGAUAAAAAAACAAGACAUUAUUACCAGAGCCAGGGACCUCCAUAACACUCUCGGGACCACAGAAUUGAUUUUUCACAUAUUUGAGGACCACUUUGGUAUAACUAUAAAGAUCAUGAAGGGGGUUGGAGGUUUUUUGUAACUGGAGGGACCCAACAAGAAAGAGUAGUGUUUAUGUUGCUACAUGACAGGCAUUACUAUAGGGUAAAAAAAUCAAAGGAUUCACGGGUGUACAUUAUUUCUGAGAACUAUGUCACACAGUGUAUCACAACAAAUUUAGACACUUGUCAAUACUUUUGUCGAGCCUGUUCGGGGUCAGAAUGUCGCGAAGUGGCUGGUGAGAGGGUGAUAUGCUGUAAGUUUUGCCGUUUUAAGGCAUGUCUUGAAAGACAUGAACGGUUGUCUGAGGAAGGAAAAAUUGUUUGUGAGGAUAAUGUACUUUGUCCAGGUGUGGCAUCUAUGUGCCUACACCACAUGAUGAAUGUAAGAAGUUGAAGUGUGGACAGUGUGAUACCAAGGUAGAUAGCUUGACAGGCCAUUUUUGUUUUCUAAAAAGGAUUUUUAAGCCAAAUGUCAGCUACAGGUACAUUGUGUAUGAUUUUGAAUGCUGUCAAGAAACAGGGACACCCAUACCAAACUAUGUCUAUGCCAUGGACAUGCUGGAUGAUGGUGCUUUUAGGAAAUGGUGAUAAGUGUCUGAAGGAAUUUGUGAAAACAUUUGUGCUGAAGGAUGGGUUCUUCUGCGAAGAGCUUUUUUAGGUUUUUGAACACUUGUUGGCAACCCAGAGACCAAGCCAGUGAUUGGUUCAGCUGUGUUUUCAGCAGUUCCAUCAGGGGCAGGGCUACCUCAGCAAAAGCUGGAAUUAAUUGUCUAAAAGUUUGCAAACCUCAGGAAGCUCUGGAGUUGCUUACAGGUGUGUGGGGGUUGCCAAUCCAGUACCGAUCUUACUUUUCCUGGGGUUCCCGGAAUUUUUGGCAGUUUUUUUCAUGGCUGCCCUAUAAGCUACAAGGCCCAUGACUUCAACAGAGUGCUUGAUUCAACCUAUGAUCAAGGAUUUAAAGGAUUAAAAAGCAGUGGGCCCUGGAAACACGGGUGCUCAGAAAAACUCUACAUGUUGUCUAUAAUAAAAGGGUGCUCAAAAUAGAGGAUUAUUGUAAGCUAUCUUACGGCUAUUAAAUAUGAUGAAAAGCAGUGUGCAAGUUUGUACAUCCUUUCUCUUGUAUUAUAAGCGGGCCUUCCAAUUUGGCAAAAUCUUAUUUUAUAAAACAAAUGUUUGA